AGAAGAUGACGAGUGGCGGACGGGUGAGUAAUGCUUGGGAACUUGCCUUUGCGAGGGGGAUAACAGUUGGAAACGACUGCUAAUACCGCAUAAUGUCUUCGGACCAAACGGGGCUUCGGCUCCGGCGCAAAGAGAGGCCCAAGUGAGAUUAGCUAGUUGGUAAGGUAACGGCUUACCAAGGCGACGAUCUCUAGCUGUUCUGAGAGGAAGAUCAGCCACACUGGGACUGAGACACGGCCCAGACUCCUACGGGAGGCAGCAGUGGGGAAUAUUGCACAAUGGGGGAAACCCUGAUGCAGCCAUGCCGCGUGUGUGAAGAAGGCCUUCGGGUUGUAAAGCACUUUCAGUUGUGAGGAAAAGUUAGUAGUUAAUACCUGCUAGCCGUGACGUUAACAACAGAAGAAGCACCGGCUAACUCCGUGCCAGCAGCCGCGGUAAUACGGAGGGUGCGAGCGUUAAUCGGAAUUACUGGGCGUAAAGCGCACGCAGGCGGUAUGUUAAGCUAGAUGUGAAAGCCCCGGGCUCAACCUGGGAUGGUCAUAUAGAACUGGCAGACUAGAGUCUUGGAGAGGGGAGUGGAAUUCCAUGUGUAGCGGUGAAAUGCGUAGAUAUCUGGAGGAACAUCAGUGGCGAAGGCGACUCCCUGGGCCAAAGACUGACGCUCAUGUGCGAAAGUGUGGGUAGCGAACAGGAUUAGAUACCCUGGUAGUCCACACCGUAAACGCUGUCUACUAGCU
Molecule: ribosomal RNA, 737 nt
Filed under: Alteromonas macleodii
Lineage: Bacteria; Pseudomonadati; Pseudomonadota; Gammaproteobacteria; Alteromonadales; Alteromonadaceae
Description: bacterial SSU rRNA
Rfam family: Bacterial small subunit ribosomal RNA
Source: RNAcentral